UACAGAGGUCUCAAGCGUUGUUCGGAUUCAUUGGGCGUAAAGGGUGCGUAGGUGGCGCGCUAAGUCAGGUGUGAAAUUUCGGAGCUUAACUCCGAAACUGCAUUUGAUACUGGCGUGCUUGAGGACUGGAGAGGAGACUGGAAUUCAUGGUGUAGCAGUGAAAUGCGUAGAGAUCAUGAGGAAGACCAGUGGCGAAGGCGGGUCUCUGGACAGUUCCUGACACUGAGGCAACGAAGGCCAGGGGAGCAAACGGG
RNAcentral lists this ribosomal RNA (254 nucleotides) under uncultured bacterium. Its description in RNAcentral is "partial 16S ribosomal RNA". It matches the Rfam family "Bacterial small subunit ribosomal RNA", at positions 524 to 776 of the family's 1533-position model. The record is from RNAcentral.